UAGGGAAUCUUCGGCAAUGGACGAAAGUCUGACCGAGCAACGCCGCGUGAGUGAAGAAGGUUUUCGGAUCGUAAAACUCUGUUGUUAGAGAAGAACAAGGACGUUAGUAACUGAACGUCCCCUGACGGUAUCUAACCAGAAAGCCACGGCUAACUACGUGCCAGCAGCCGCGGUAAUACGUAGGUGGCAAGCGUUGUCCGGAUUUAUUGGGCGUAAAGCGAGCGCAGGCGGUUUCUUAAGUCUGAUGUGAAGCCCCCGGCUCAACCGGGGAGGGUCAUUGGAAACUGGGAGACUUUAGUGCAGAAGAGGAGAGUGGAAUUCCAUGUGUAGCGGUGAAAUGCGUAGAUAUAUGGAGGAACACCAGUGGCGAAGGCGGCUCUCUGGUCUGUAACUGACGCUGAGGCUCGAAAGCGUGGGGAGCAAACAGG
Molecule: ribosomal RNA, 428 nt
Filed under: Gemmatimonadota bacterium
Lineage: Bacteria; Pseudomonadati; Gemmatimonadota
Description: Gemmatimonadetes bacterium partial 16S ribosomal RNA
Rfam family: Bacterial small subunit ribosomal RNA
Source: RNAcentral